Molecule: non-coding RNA, 204 nt
Organism: Paramisgurnus dabryanus
Lineage: Eukaryota; Metazoa; Chordata; Actinopteri; Cypriniformes; Cobitidae
Source: RefSeq, a predicted model, not a curated record
UCUCCUGAUGGUCUGUCGGCCGUAGUUGCGUCUCCUCAGCCACAGACGUCUUCGUCCUUUCAGCAAAAUAACACAGACAAAGUCAAGGACGUGAAGGUUGAUGAUGGUUCUUCAUCUCAACCUUCACCUCCUCCGAGUCAAGUGCCUUCUACCACCUCUCCUCCUCAGCAUCGCUGUCUCAAGCAUCAGCCUCCUUCUUUACAG